UCGCCUGCAUGAAGUCGGAAUUGCUAGUAAUCGUGGAUCAGCAUGCCACGGUGAAUACGUUCCCGGGCCUUGUACACACCGCCCGUCAAACCAUGAGAGUUGGCAACACCCGAAGCCUGUAGCUUAACCGCAAGGAUGGCGCAGUCGAAGGUGGGGUCGAUGAUUAGGGUUAAGUCGUAACAAGGUAAC
Molecule: ribosomal RNA, 189 nt
Filed under: uncultured bacterium
Lineage: Bacteria
Description: partial 16S ribosomal RNA
Rfam family: Bacterial small subunit ribosomal RNA
Source: RNAcentral